Molecule: non-coding RNA, 189 nt
Organism: Microcebus murinus (gray mouse lemur)
Lineage: Eukaryota; Metazoa; Chordata; Mammalia; Primates; Cheirogaleidae
Source: RefSeq, a predicted model, not a curated record
GAAGAGUCUGUUCAACAUGUGGUCGUGACUGCUAUUCAAGAGUUGAUGAGUAAAGAAAUAUUGAGCUCUCCUGCAAAUGAUGCUGUUGGAGAAUUAGAGCAACAGCUUAAAAGGGCCUUGGAAGAACUUCAGGAAGCACUAUCAGAAAAAGAAGAGCUGAGGCAGAGAUGCGAAGAACUGGAUAUGCAG